AAUACAUGCAAGUAGAACGCUGAAGAGAGGAGCUUGCUCUUCUUGGAUGAGUUGCGAACGGGUGAGUAACGCGUAGGUAACCUGCCUUGUAGCGGGGGAUAACUACUGGAAACGAUAGCUAAUACCGCAUAACAAUGGAUGACACAUGUCAUUUAUUUGAAAGGGGCAAUUGCUCCACUACAAGAUGGACCUGCGUUGUAUUAGCUAGUAGGUGAGGUAAUGGCUCACCUAGGCGACGAUACAUAGCCGACCUGAGAGGGUGAUCGGCCACACUGGGACUGAGACACGGCCCAGACUCCUACGGGAGGCAGCAGAAGGGCGAAUUCGU
Molecule: ribosomal RNA, 328 nt
Filed under: uncultured Streptococcus sp.
Lineage: Bacteria; Bacillati; Bacillota; Bacilli; Lactobacillales; Streptococcaceae
Description: bacterial SSU rRNA
Rfam family: Bacterial small subunit ribosomal RNA
Source: RNAcentral